UACAGAGGUCUCAAGCGUUGUUCGGAAUUACUGGGCGUAAAGCGCACGUAGGCGGCUUUGUAAGUUAGAGGUGAAAGCCCGGGGCUCAACUCCGGAACUGCCUUUAAGACUGCAUCGCUUGAAUCCAGGAGAGGUGAGUGGAAUUCCGAGUGUAGAGGUGAAAUUCGUAGAUAUUCGGAAGAACACCAGUGGCGAAGGCGGCUCACUGGACUGGUAUUGACGCUGAGGUGCGAAAGCGUGGGGAGCAAACAGG
RNAcentral lists this ribosomal RNA (253 nucleotides) under uncultured bacterium. RNAcentral's name for it is "partial 16S ribosomal RNA". It matches the Rfam family "Bacterial small subunit ribosomal RNA", at positions 524 to 776 of the family's 1533-position model. The record is from RNAcentral.